RNAcentral lists this ribosomal RNA (254 nucleotides) under uncultured bacterium. RNAcentral's name for it is "partial 16S ribosomal RNA". It matches the Rfam family "Bacterial small subunit ribosomal RNA", at positions 524 to 776 of the family's 1533-position model. The record is from RNAcentral.
UACGGGGGGAGCAAGCGUUGUUCGGAUUUACUGGGCGUAAAGGGCGCGUAGGCGGUCGUGACAAGUCACUUGUGAAAUCUCCGGGCUUAACUCGGAACGGUCAAGUGAUACUGUCGGACUAGAGUACAGAAGGGGCAACUGGAAUUCUCGGUGUAGCGGUGAAAUGCGUAGAUAUCGAGAGGAACACCAGUGGCGAAGGCGGCUCACUGGACCGGUACUGACGCUGAUGCGCGAAAGCGUGGGGAGCAAACGGG